This is a small nucleolar RNA of Chinchilla lanigera (long-tailed chinchilla), 219 nucleotides long. The record is from Ensembl. Lineage: Eukaryota; Metazoa; Chordata; Mammalia; Rodentia; Chinchillidae.
CAGGCUAUAUUUUCAGGGAUCAUUUCUAUAGUAUGUUAUUAGAGAAGUUUCUCUGAUCGUGUAGAGUACCGGAAACCACGAGGAGGAGGCGUAGUGUUCCUUCCUGAGCGUGAAGCCGGCUCUUGGUGCUGCUUUGCUGCAGCUGCCAUUUGCCAUUGAUGAUCGUUCUUGUUUUCUCUUUGUGGGAAACAAGAGGGAAGGAAUGCAGUCUGAGUGGUU